This 1243-nucleotide long non-coding RNA is filed under the name Homo sapiens (human). RNAcentral's name for it is "PREDICTED lncRNA (TCONS_00129495)". Lineage: Eukaryota; Metazoa; Chordata; Mammalia; Primates; Hominidae. The record is from RNAcentral.
CACCAUUGACAUAGAGACUGUGCCUGUCCAGGGUGUAGGGGCCCAGCUCAGUGAUGCCGUGGGUCAGCUGGCUCAGCUUCCAGUACAGCCGCUCUCUGUCCAGUCCAGGGCUUUUGGGGUCAGGACGAUGGGUGCAGACAGCAUCCACUCUGGUGGCUGCCCCAUCCUUCUCAGGCCUAGGGAGGGCAGAUGAAGCAAAUAACAAUUUAAAAAUUGCCUCAGGAGGAGUUCUGAGAUUUCCUGGGGCCAGACAGGAAGGGGCCAGAGGAAAUGAGAAGCCUGGGAAAGAGGUAAUAAGUCACAUUUAGAUUCUCUGAGUGUCCCGGCUGCCAGCCAGCCCAGGACUGUGAACAGAGUCAUAGAUGCAAGAACUUUUUAUAAAAUUGCAAAGUAAAGCCUGCAUUCUCAUGGCAUGGAGACAAGAGUACUCAGACAUGAGACAGAUGAAGAGCUGGAAUUGGGGAUGAAAGCAAGUGGAUGAGGCAUGCUUGUCUUGUGAGAAAUCCUGGGGACAGAAUUUAACAACUGGAGGAAAGGGAGGUGGGUGGAAAGGAGGGAAUUCAGAGGGAUGACCAAGGUAGAAGCACAAUUCUCCUCAUGGACUCUGCAGAAUCUCGCAGUUGAUUGGGGUGGUGCUGAUGGUAUCAGGAGACAGAUUAGUUUUGAAGCCAAUGCUUCCCGAAUUCCAUCUGUUGUGAGGACAUUCACAGGGAUGGCAGGAAAAAAAAAAACAAUCCAAACUCUUUGCGACUAGGAACAAUUGGGGCAGCUAGGCUAGCUCUUCUAAAGUCUCACCUGAGCAAGGUCAGUCUGCAACCAGAGUACAGAGAGCUGACACUGGUGUUCUUGAACAAGGGCAUAAGCUGUGGAAGAGGGAGAGGGAGGUGACUAGGAGGGCUGGGGAUAUAGUGGUGGGGCACAAGUGUGGCGAGUGCAGCUGGCACCAGUGGGCAGGGCUUGUGUCUCUAGGGGAGAUGGAUGAGAUUUUCUUCCAUGGCCCUGGCAUGGGUGAUGUUGUUGGGACCAGGUAACGUGGGAGGGGCAGAGUAAGUUGGACAGGGGUCUCACCAGACCCUGAAGGACCCUCUCCGUGGUGUUGAACUUCCUGGAGCCAGGGCGACGCAUGUCCUCCUCAUACUGCAGGUUGGUGAUGGUGAAGUUGAGGGUGAAUGGCACCAGGAGAGGGCCAGCAGCUGUAGUGGAGGUGGGAAACAAACACUAUGUCCAAAGUAGAGAAAAUAGG